RNAcentral lists this long non-coding RNA (320 nucleotides) under Elaeis guineensis (African oil palm). Its description in RNAcentral is "long non-coding RNA (EGUI_LNC075226)". The record is from RNAcentral. Lineage: Eukaryota; Viridiplantae; Streptophyta; Magnoliopsida; Arecales; Arecaceae.
ACCCGACCAUCGGCGCCAGGGGCGAACAGCCGAAACUGCUCCGGGACGCAGUACUGCUCCCGGAGCCGAUCGACGUUCGGCCCCGAAAGUGAAGAAGCCUCCACCUCCGGGGACGACCGAGUGUCUUCGGUCGGUUCUCCCGACCGACUACCUCGUGGGGACGUCCUGGCCAUGAGUUCAAGGAAAUGGCGAGGAAGAAAGAAAGGAGGAGGGGGAAAGCUACUCUAGCCCUUGGAAGGAAGGAAUCGCAAAUGGGGGGCGGAGCGGAGAAGUACCUGGAGCGGAGGCUCAAGCGGCAGAGUCUCGACUGUAAAAAUGAG